CGGCAAUGAGGAGGAUAACAUGUGAACGACUUCAGCAUGAGUUAUAAUAUACGCUAUUCUGAGCCCUUU
Molecule: small nucleolar RNA, 69 nt
Organism: Rhinichthys klamathensis goyatoka
Lineage: Eukaryota; Metazoa; Chordata; Actinopteri; Cypriniformes; Leuciscidae
Product: small nucleolar RNA U54
Exons: 1
Source: RefSeq, a predicted model, not a curated record